Molecule: long non-coding RNA, 1109 nt
Filed under: Fukomys damarensis (Damara mole-rat)
Lineage: Eukaryota; Metazoa; Chordata; Mammalia; Rodentia; Bathyergidae
Description: lncRNA (ENSFDAG00000022888.1)
Source: RNAcentral
CUUGUUUCUUUAGUGUUUUAACAUUUGUGUAUUAUGUAAAAUGCAUAAAAACUGUUAAAUGUGCUUUGCUAAUGCAUUUCUCUGAAGUUGAAUAUAUUUUUAUUACUUUCAAUAUUUUCUGUAUUAGAUGUCAAGGCAACAGGAGCAGCCAGGGCAAGGAAUAGCAGCAGAUGCAGCUGAUGGACAAAGGCGGGAUUCCAGAUCUGCUGUAUUUCGUAUUCCAGAAUUCAAGUGGUCUCACAUGCAUCAGCGUUUGCUCACUGAUCUCUUGUUUUCCAUAGAAACAGACAUACAGAUGUGGAGAAGCCACUCGACAAAGACAGUUAUGGACUUCGUGAACAGCAGUGAUAAUGUCAUCUUUGUCCACAACACAAUUCAUCUCAUCUCUCAAGUGAUGGACAAUAUGGUCAUGGCUUGUGGGGGGAUCCUGCCGUUGCUUUCAGCUGCGACGUCGGCUACACAUGAACUGGAGACUAUUGAACCUUCUCAGGGUCUUUCAGUAGAAGCCUCUGUGACAUUUUUGCAGAGGUUAAUUAGCCUUGUGGAUGUGCUUAUAUUUGCAAGUUCUCUUGGUUUCACUGAAAUUGAAGCUGAAAAAAAUAUGUCAUCUGGAGGAAUUUUGCGACAGUGUCUCCGACUGGGUAAGCUGUUAACCAUUAGUUUUAAUCCUUAGGAAUUUAAUAUCUUCAGCAUACAUUAAAUUGAAAAUGGAUUUUCUUCUUUUUGGGGAAAGAUUGUGUGCAGGCAAAGUUGUCAUACAUGUACAUUUUAGUGUAUUGUGCAUAGUAGUAGCACGUUGGGGAAUGGGGAGCACAUAAUUUCAAAAGUCUGCUGAGGUGAUUCUGGCUGGCAGACAUUUUCCCUGUCCCUCAGUCCCUUUUGGUCUAAGGUAGUGCUUCUCAAUCAGUGUGACUCAUCUGAGGUCUUGUUCAAAUGUAUACUAGAUUAUAUAUGUCUGGGGUGAGACAUAAACUUGUCUCUGAGGCCCUUGUGAUGCUGGUUUCUCUUGUUUUACACAUGAGAACCAGAAUUCUAAAGUGCAUCAUUCAGAUACGGCCUUCGUUCAGACAAGUUCAGGUGUGUUGGAAAGCAGUUAAUAAAACAGUUCU